This 72-nucleotide transfer RNA is filed under the name Bos taurus (domestic cattle). It matches the Rfam family "tRNA". From Rfam's summary of the family: Transfer RNA (tRNA) molecules are approximately 80 nucleotides in length. The record is from Rfam by way of RNAcentral. Lineage: Eukaryota; Metazoa; Chordata; Mammalia; Artiodactyla; Bovidae. RNAcentral also lists the same sequence under 2 other names.
UCCCAGGUAGCUCAGAUGGUAAAGUGUCUGCCUGCAAUGCAGGAGACCCAGGUUCAAUCCCUGGGUGAGGAA